This 486-nucleotide ribosomal RNA is filed under the name uncultured bacterium. RNAcentral describes it as "partial 16S ribosomal RNA". It matches the Rfam family "Bacterial small subunit ribosomal RNA", at positions 30 to 507 of the family's 1533-position model. The record is from RNAcentral.
AUUGAACGCUGGCGGCAUGCCUUACACAUGCAAGUCGAACGGCAGCACGGGUGCUUGCACCUGGUGGCGAGUGGCGAACGGGUGAGUAAUACAUCGGAACAUGUCCUGUAGUGGGGGAUAGCCCGGCGAAAGCCGGAUUAAUACCGCAUACGAUCUACGGAUGAAAGCGGGGGACCUUCGGGCCUCGCGCUAUCGGGUUGGCCGAUGGCUGAUUCGCUAGUUGGUGGGGUAAAGGCCUACCAAGGCGACGAUCAGUAGCUGGUCUGAGAGGACGACCAGCCACACUGGGACUGAGACACGGCCCAGACUCCUACGGGAGGCAGCAGUGGGGAAUUUUGGACAAUGGGCGAAAGCCUGAUCCAGCAAUGCCGCGUGUGUGAAGAAGGCCUUCGGGUUGUAAAGCACUUUUGUCCGGAAAGAAAUCCUUGGCCCUAAUACGGUCGGGGGAUGACGGUACCGGAAGAAUAAGCACCGGCUAACUACGUG